CUAUACGGAGUUACAAAGGACGACAUUAGACGAAUCAUCUGGAAAGAUGAAUCAAAGAAGGUAAUAAUCCUGUAGUCGAAAAUGUUGUCUCUCUUGAGUGGAUCCUGAGUACGACGGAGCACGUGAAAUUCCGUCGGAAUCUGGGAGGACCAUCUCCUAAGGCUAAAUACUCUCUAGUGACCGAUAGUGAACCAGUACCGUGAGGGAAAGGUGAAAAGCACCCCGGAAGGGGAGUGAAAUAGAACCUGAAACCGUGUGCUUACAAGUAGUCAGAGCCCGUUAAUGGGUGAUGGCGUGCCUUUUGUAGAAUGAACCGGCGAGUUACGAUUUGAUGCAAGGUUAAGCAGUAAAUGUGGAGCCGUAGCGAAAGCGAGUCUGAAUAGGGCGUUUAGUAUUUGGUCGUAGACCCGAAACCAGGUGAUCUACCCUUGGUCAGGUUGAAGUUCAGGUAACACUGAAUGGAGGACCGAACCGACUUACGUUGAAAAGUGAGCGGAUGAACUGAGGGUAGCGGAGAAAUUCCAAUCGAACCUGGAGAUAGCUGGUUCUCUCCGAAAUAGCUUUAGGGCUAGCCUCAAGUGAUGAUUAUUGGAGGUAGAGCACUGUUUGGACGAGGGGCCCCUCUCGGGUUACCGAAUUCAGACAAACUCCGAAUGCCAAUUAAUUUAACUUGGGAGUCAGAACAUGGGUGAUAAGGUCCGUGUUCGAAAGGGAAACAGCCCAGACCACCAGCUAAGGUCCCAAAAUAUAUGUUAAGUGGAAAAGGAUGUGGCGUUGCCCAGACAACUAGGAUGUUGGCUUAGAAGCAGCCAUCAUUUAAAGAGUGCGUAAUAGCUCACUAGUCGAGUGACACUGCGCCGAAAAUGUACCGGGGCUAAACAUAUUACCGAAGCUGUGGAUUGUCCUUUGGACAAUGGUAGGAGAGCGUUCUAAGGGCGUUGAAGCAUGAUCGUAAGGACAUGUGGAGCGCUUAGAAGUGAGAAUGCCGGUGUGAGUAGCGAAAGACGGGUGAGAAUCCCGUCCACCGAUUGACUAAGGUUUCCAGAGGAAGGCUCGUCCGCUCUGGGUUAGUCGGGUCCUAAGCUGAGGCCGACAGGCGUAGGCGAUGGAUAACAGGUUGAUAUUCCUGUACCACCUAUAAUCGUUUUAAUCGAUGGGGGGACGCAGUAGGAUAG
RNAcentral lists this ribosomal RNA (1175 nucleotides) under Staphylococcus aureus. RNAcentral's name for it is "partial 23S ribosomal RNA". It matches the Rfam family "Bacterial large subunit ribosomal RNA", at positions 308 to 1485 of the family's 2925-position model. The record is from RNAcentral. Lineage: Bacteria; Bacillati; Bacillota; Bacilli; Caryophanales; Staphylococcaceae.